UACAGAGGGGCAAGCGUUGUUCGGAAUUACUGGGCGUAAAGCGUGCGUAGACGGUUAUGUAAGUCGGGUGUGAAAGCCCCGGGCUCAACCUGGGAAUUGCAUUCGAGACUGUGUAGCUAGGGUACGGAAGAGGGAAGCGGAAUUUCAGGUGUAGCGGUGAAAUGCGUAGAUAUCUGAAGGAACACCAGUGGCGAAAGCGGCUUCCUGGUCCAGUACCGACGUCAGGCACGAAAGCGUGGGGAGCAAACAGG
Molecule: ribosomal RNA, 251 nt
Filed under: uncultured bacterium
Lineage: Bacteria
Description: partial 16S ribosomal RNA
Rfam family: Bacterial small subunit ribosomal RNA
Source: RNAcentral